GACGAACGCUGGCGGCGUGCCUAACACAUGCAAGUCGAACGGAGUUAAGACUUCGGUUUUAACUUAGUGGCGAACGGGUGAGUAACGCGUGAGAAACCUGCCUUUCAGUGGGGGACAACAGUUGGAAACGACUGCUAAUACCGCAUAAUGUGCCGGGAGGGCAUCCUCCUGGUACCAAAGCUUAAUGUGCUGAAAGAUGGUCUCGCGUCUGAUUAGCUAGUUGGCGGGGUAACGCCCACCAAGGCGACGAUCAGUAGCCGGACUGAGAGGUUGAACGGCCACAUUGGGACUGAGACACGGCCCAGACUCCUACGGGAGGCAGCAGUGGGGAAUAUUGCGCAAUGGGGGCAAGCCUGACCCAGCAAUGCCGCGUGAAGGAAGAAGGCUUUCGGGUUGUAAACUUCUUUUGUCAGGGACGAGUAGAAGACGGUACCUGACGAAUAAGCCACGGCUACAUACGUG
Molecule: ribosomal RNA, 462 nt
Filed under: uncultured bacterium
Lineage: Bacteria
Description: bacterial SSU rRNA
Rfam family: Bacterial small subunit ribosomal RNA
Source: RNAcentral